CCGUAGGUGAACCUGCGGAAGGAUCAUUGUCGAAACCUGCCCAGCAGUACAACCCGCGAACGAGUUUAUCCACUGCGGAAGGUGCCUCGUGCGCCCGAAGCAAGGCCCCGUUGGGUGCUAUGCUCCCUGCGGUGGCCGCGUAAACAAACCCCGGCGCGGAAAGCGCCAAGGAAAACAAACUCAUAAGCGAGGACGUUCCCAUCACCCCGGAAACGGUGCGUGCUUGGGUUGCGCUUCUCCUUUCAUAACCACAACGACUCUCGGCAACGGAUAUCUCGGCUCUCGCAUCGAUGAAGAACGUAGCGAAAUGCGAUACUUGGUGUGAAUUGCAGAAUCCCGUGAACCAUCGAGUCUUUGAACGCAAGUUGCGCCCAAAGCCUUCGGGCCGAGGGCACGUCUGCCUGGGUGUCACGCAUCGUCGCUCCCUCCCAACAAUUCCAACGGGAUUGUGAGAGCUGGAGCGGAAAAUGGCCUCCCGUGAGCCACUGCGUUCGCGGUUGGCCCAAACACGAAUCCAUGUCGGCCAGUGCCGCGACAAUCGGUGGUUGAAAAGACCCUCUGACAAUGCCGCGUGCACCUGUUCGACGCGAAGGAUCCCACGACCCUCUAUGUAUCCGACGCGACCCCAGGUCAGGCGGGAUUACCCGCUGAGA
This 653-nucleotide ribosomal RNA is filed under the name Nellica maderaspatensis. Its description in RNAcentral is "eukaryotic LSU rRNA". The stretch from base 256 to 411 matches the Rfam family "5.8S ribosomal RNA". The record is from RNAcentral. Lineage: Eukaryota; Viridiplantae; Streptophyta; Magnoliopsida; Malpighiales; Phyllanthaceae.